Molecule: ribosomal RNA, 500 nt
Filed under: uncultured bacterium
Lineage: Bacteria
Description: partial 16S ribosomal RNA
Rfam family: Bacterial small subunit ribosomal RNA
Source: RNAcentral
AAUCAACGCUGGCGGCGUGCCUAACACAUGCCAGUCGAACGCGAAAGCCCCGCAAGGGGUAAGUAGAGUGGCAAACGGGUGAGUAACACGUGGGUGACCUGCCUUCGAGUGGGGGAUAACGUCCCGAAAGGGACGCUAAUACCGCAUGACAUCCUGCUUUUGAAAAAGCGGAGAUCAAAGCUGGGGAUCGCAAGACCUAGCGCUUGAAGAGGGGCCCGCGCCUGAUUAGCUAGUUGGUGAGGUAACGGCUCACCAAGGCGACGAUCAGUAUCCGGCCUGAGAGGGCGGACGGACACACUGGGACUGAGACACGGCCCAGACUCCUACGGGAGGCAGCAGUGGGGAAUUGUUCGCAAUGGGCGCAAGCCUGACGACGCAACGCCGCGGGGAGGACGAAGAUCUUCGGGUCGUAAACUCCUGUCGAGCGGGACGAACGCUUCGCGGAUGAAUAAUCCGCGGAAUUGACGGUACCGCUAAAGGAAGCCCCGGCUAACUCCGUG